GACAUCGGUGACGAUGAGUUAACGUUGUCAGUAUCCGGAGCGCCUCUUGAUGAUGACCUGCUGGUGUCUGAGCUAGCGGCAUUAGAUUUAGACCUCACUGUUCCAUUACUCGGUGGUAAAGUGCACGGUUCUCUGGCUCGUGCUGGUAAGGUCAGGGGACAAACGCCGAAGGUUGAAAAGCAGGAAAAGAAGAAGAAGAAGACUGGCCGCGCCAAGCGUAGGCAACAGUACAACAGACGAAUUCUGAAUGUUGUCAUGGUCAACGGCCGUCCUCGUGGACCCAACUGUAACUCUUAGAAUUUUGUAUACUAAUUAAUAUUGAUGUAAAAUGUAAA
Molecule: unclassified non-coding RNA, 335 nt
Filed under: Melitaea cinxia (Glanville fritillary)
Lineage: Eukaryota; Metazoa; Arthropoda; Insecta; Lepidoptera; Nymphalidae
Description: misc RNA ENSMCXG00005000717.1
Source: RNAcentral